This 700-nucleotide ribosomal RNA is filed under the name Peribacillus psychrosaccharolyticus. RNAcentral describes it as "bacterial SSU rRNA". It matches the Rfam family "Bacterial small subunit ribosomal RNA", at positions 69 to 756 of the family's 1533-position model. Lineage: Bacteria; Bacillati; Bacillota; Bacilli; Caryophanales; Bacillaceae. The record is from RNAcentral.
AAUUGUUGAGUUUACUCAACAAUUAGCGGCGGACGGGUGAGUAACACGUGGGCAACCUGCCUAUAAGACUGGGAUAACUUCGGGAAACCGGAGCUAAUACCGGAUAUGUUCUUCUCUCGCAUGAGAGAAGAUGGAAAGACGGUCUCGGCUGUCACUUAUAGAUGGGCCCGCGGCGCAUUAGCUAGUUGGUGAGGUAAUGGCUCACCAAGGCAACGAUGCGUAGCCGACCUGAGAGGGUGAUCGGCCACACUGGGACUGAGACACGGCCCAGACUCCUACGGGAGGCAGCAGUAGGGAAUCUUCCGCAAUGGACGAAAGUCUGACGGAGCAACGCCGCGUGAACGAUGAAGGCUUUCGGGUCGUAAAGUUCUGUUGUUAGGGAAGAACAAGUACCAGAGUAACUGCUGGUACCUUGACGGUACCUAACCAGAAAGCCACGGCUAACUACGUGCCAGCAGCCGCGGUAAUACGUAGGUGGCAAGCGUUAUCCGGAAUUAUUGGGCGUAAAGCGCGCGCAGGUGGUUCCUUAAGUCUGAUGUGAAAGCCCCCGGCUCAACCGGGGAGGGUCAUUGGAAACUGGGGAACUUGAGUGUAGAAGAGGAAAGUGGAAUUCCACGUGUAGCGGUGAAAUGCGUAGAGAUGUGGAGGAACACCAGUGGCGAAGGCGACUUUCUGGUCUAUAACUGACACUGAGGCGCGA